Molecule: long non-coding RNA, 3261 nt
Organism: Gadus morhua (Atlantic cod)
Lineage: Eukaryota; Metazoa; Chordata; Actinopteri; Gadiformes; Gadidae
Source: Ensembl
AACGCAGCAAGGAGCGCUGGAGCUAGUAGUCUAUGAACAGCAGUGCAUACAAUAACUUAUUUUCUUUUACUGUCAGUGAAUAGCAUCGAAUGAAAGUCAACGUUUUCUUUAUAUCUAGUGACAGUGAUUAUGUCAUUGGCUCAGAUAAGUACCCUAAACUUAGUCAGAAGAUCCAGAAAUAGAAGGCAUAUUAUGCCUUCUAUUUAUUCUAAAUAUGGGCUAGCUUGACAGUCCCACCUGUGAACCCCUAGUGUUUAUUCUAAGCUUUUACCUUUCUCCGGUGAAAAUGUUGUUUGCAAACGUAGCCGACGCCGAGUAGGCUGGUUAUGUCUUCAGUGUGAUUAUUUUUGAUAGUGCUAACUCGUUUUCCUCGUGAUUGCUUGUCAUUGAAACUGUCAGGGUACCGCUUACCGGGAGAGAGCAGUAAGCGUGUCUGUGUCGCUGUGUUUGGCAGGUGUCUGUGUGGGCGGUGUCGUCCCAUGGAAACUGUGGUGGAGAGCUUGUAUUGUAGGGAGGUGAGCGCGUUUUGGUCGCUGGUCGAGGAGCUCACCCCGCGGCCAGCAGAUGUAACGUGCCUAACGCAGCAUCCUGGAUUUGAGGCAUGCUGCCUGAAUCCGUUUGUGCUAAAAAUAGCAUACACACACUUCAGGCAGGAUCAUGGUCCCCUUCAAGUCAGCACGCACGAGCAAUACCGGUACACUGCGUACAGGCAAGCUAUACGCUGGGCUUAUGGCGUUUUAGGGAGGAGUAUAAGGAAGCCUCUACCCUCUUGUGUGGUUUCAACCAUCAGACAGCAAUUCCAGAAUGGUGACCAGACCUAUCAGGGCUUUCAAUGGCCUUGUUUGGAUUAAAAUGAAUACAAAUAAUAGUUAUGCUUAUUCUGUUGUGAUCAUUCAAUUGCCCUUAAAAUAUUAUAAAGUACACAGAACACAUGCAUUUUGGAUAAAAAAAAGUUGAUUGGCAUUGCUUGUAAUGGUUACUGAACAAAGACACAGGUUGGAAUUAAAUCUAUAUAAAAAAAUGGUUAGGCACAAAACAUACAAGGAACACUGAUGAAGGGCUAGACCCGCAAUGUUUAAUUCUAAUUCUAAUUAAUUCUGCAAUAGUGUAGUCAUACCCGAGGGUCAGUUGAUGGUUCUCUUUCUCUCACACACACACACACACACUAUUUCAUGCAGUGAUACAUGCAAAAGCACAUCAAGCAGACACACAGUGAGCCCAGACAACACCGCACACAGAGGUUGACAAGGCACAGGUAAAAUGAUUACCAAAUUAUUUUGAAUUACAUACAAAGAAAUUUCAUGCAAAUAACAACUAAAUCAUUGGACUUGUCCGUGGAAAAAAAUAAUAAUGUGAAAUUAGGUUUUCUUGAAGCGUGACUGCCGGGCUAGGUAGAGGCUGAUGGCCUCCUCCUUAGGAAUCUGUUCGAAGGAUUUGGCGAUGGGGGCGGGUGCAUCGGAGGACAGAUUGGCGCCAACCUCUCGAAGAACCGCGGGUGAAUUGGCGUAGCUCUCCCGAAGGGCCUUCAUUAAUGAUGUUGCAUAACCUGCAGACAUAAUAAUAAUAACAUUACUUUAUAAAGAUCAUUGUCACUGAUCACUUGUGCGCCAUCUCAAAAUAUGAUAGAACUGCCUGACACUGCUUACCGUAUGAGGCUGCCUCUUUGAUGGGACGCACCACAUGGGCACCUUUUCUGAAGCGCGGAUACCGCACGCAGUACUUCUCUGUCCCGUCACUUCUCCGUGCUGUCUCGCGAUUGGCAUUGUGAUUAUAAUGCAGCGCCGCUAAGAGUAGCCUACAAAAUAACACAUUUGAGAAAACCUUUGAAACUUGGUGUAUGACAAAAUACUACAAUAGGCACGUUAAUAGGUACUAUUAUUACUAUAAAAGGCAUAAUAAUUGGCAGUGUUAUUCCAUUGGAUAGCACUGACCUGCUAUACAUCCCAAGGUAUGAAAACCCUGUGUGCUUGGGCGAAGUGCAAGAUGAGGGAGUGGUAAGCCUCCAGGGAGAAGGUCUGGUGCUGUGGAGACAGCUGACGAACAUCUUUCAUCAAGGCAGCCCUCAUCAUUAUGUUCUCCAACUUGACUGCUGCCAAUGAGCCUGAAAAGACCAAGACAGGUAGGCAGGGAGGCAGACAGAAACACAUACGGAAAACAUACAAAUAAACAGGAAGAUGGACAGACAGAAUUCCUUUUUGAAAUGGAAACACAUGAAAUUGUCCUGCAUAUGAGAUUUACCUUGAGACCAUCGGGGGGGCUUCAAAAAACAUUGUGUCCCAGCGUCAGAAGUGGAGGAGGGCAAGGGCUGAUCCCCAGUAUCGACACUCUCCACAGUGUCUACACUGGCCACGGUCUCCUGCUGUGAGGCGUCUGUCAACAUCUUGCGAAAACAAAUAUAAAAAAGUAUAUUAGUAUAAAGUAUAGUAUAUAUAAGUAUAUAAAAGGUCACGGUCAAAUACAGUAUAUGUGAAAGAGAACAGUAGCAGUCUAGCACUAACACAAAACGCAAACACACUGUUGUGAAAGCCGCUUGAUGUUGACGAUCACUGAUCCAAACACUAGCCAUGAAGCUUUCAUGACGAUAUGGACAUUUACUUCAGGGCAAUUUUGUUUUGGCUCAUAUUCGUGAAUCACGAAAUAUGCUCUUCUAAUGUCAGACUGAUCAUGCUUGUAGAUGAGGCUGUGUCAAAGGGAACACGGUAUGCAAAAUACACAGAGCUAGCUAACGCGCAGCUUGUAAUUAGCAGCUAUAGCAUGAUGCUUACCGUGGCAAUCUCUCGCUUGCGGCAGACGGUGUCUCUCGACCUCGGGACAGGGCAGGCAGAGUGGUUUGCAUGCACAGACGGCACGGCGGUAGGAAUUAACUUCGCCGUCCUCUUACUCUUUAAACCAAGUGAGACCAUCUUGGCAUCCCCUGAGUGGUAAUCCUCCUCCUUGAAAUGCGCGCUGCAUAUUCUGGAGUACGCGGUAACAGAGCUAGCUGAAAAAUCUGCCCGCCUAAACUUGACAAAUUGCACCCAGCUUCGGAGAAUCCCUUUGUCCUUGUGGAAGCAAUGGACCCUAUGUCCACUUUUGCUGGAGUUGUUGCACCCGCCACAAAUACAGUAGAAAACCAUGUUAUCUACUUAUAUAUCUUCUCUCUCUCUCUCUCUCUCUCUCUCUCUCUCUCUCUCUCUCUCUCUCUCUCUCUCUCUCUCUCUAUAUAUAUGUUAUGCUAUGCUAUGCUAUCCCUCACUAUCUAUCGAUGUUAUGCUAUUCUAU